CACGUAGUUAGCCGUCCCUUUCUGGUAAGAUACCGUCACAGUGUGAACUUUCCACUCUCACACUCGUUCUUUUCUUACAACAGAGCUUUACGAUCCGAAAACCUUCUUCACUCACGCGGCGUUGCUCGGUCAGACUUCCGUCCAUUGCCGAAGAUUCCCUACUGCUGCCUCCCGUAGGAGUCUGGGCCGUGUCUCAGUCCCAGUGUGGCCGAUCACCCUCUCAGGUCGGCUAUGUAUCGUCGCCUUGGUGAGCCGUUACCCCACCAACUAGCUAAUACAACGCAGGUCCAUCUGGUAGUGGUGCAAUUGCACCUUUCAAACAGUUAUCAUGCAAUAACUGCUAUUAUGCGGUAUUAGCUAUCGUUUCCAAUUAGUUACUCCCCCGCUACCAGGCUAGGUUACCUACGUCGUUACUCACCCGUUGCAACUCAUCCAGAGAAGCAAGCCUCCUCCUUCAGUCGUUCUACUUGCUAUGUAUUAGGCACCGCCGCCAGCGUUCGU
Molecule: ribosomal RNA, 501 nt
Filed under: uncultured Streptococcus sp.
Lineage: Bacteria; Bacillati; Bacillota; Bacilli; Lactobacillales; Streptococcaceae
Description: partial 16S ribosomal RNA
Source: RNAcentral